GAUGAACGCUGGCGGCGUGCCUAAUACAUGCAAGUCGAGCGAACUGAUUAGAAGCUUGCUUCUAUGACGUUAGCGGCGGACGGGUGAGUAACACGUGGGCAACCUGCCUGUAAGACUGGGAUAACUUCGGGAAACCGAAGCUAAUACCGGAUAGGAUCUUCUCCUUCAUGGGAGAUGAUUGAAAGAUGGUUUCGGCUAUCACUUACAGAUGGGCCCGCGGUGCAUAGCUAGUUGGUGAGGUAACGGCUCACCAAGGCAACGAUGCAUAGCCGACCUGAGAGGGUGAUCGGCCACACUGGGACUGAGACACGGCCCAGACUCCUACGGGAGGCAGCAGUAGGGAAUCUUCCGCAAUGGACGAAAGUCUGACGGAGCAACGCCGCGCGAGUGAUGAAGGCUUUCGGGUCGUAAACUCUGUUGUUAGGAAGAACAAGUACGAGAGUAACUGCUUGUACCUUGACGGUACCUAACCAG
Molecule: ribosomal RNA, 474 nt
Filed under: uncultured bacterium
Lineage: Bacteria
Description: bacterial SSU rRNA
Rfam family: Bacterial small subunit ribosomal RNA
Source: RNAcentral